GCCUACGACCAUAUCACCCUGAAUGCGCCCGAUCUCGUCUGAUCUCGGAAGCUAAGCAUGGUCGAGCCUGGUGAGUACUUGGAUGGGAGACUGCCUGGGAAUACCAGGUGUUGUAGGCU
Petromyzon marinus (sea lamprey) is the source of this 119-nucleotide ribosomal RNA. NCBI's taxonomy places the organism in Eukaryota, Metazoa, Chordata, Hyperoartia, Petromyzontiformes, Petromyzontidae. The record is from Ensembl.